UGCCACGAUGCAUUCAAUGGUGCAAUUUUGUGACACCCCAUACAAAUGCACACGAAGCUCGUGUUGCGCGACGAUUACUCGACACACAGCAUCUGCACGGGAGGAAUUACGCGCGUCAGUCGUGACGAACGCGCGCGGCUACGUCUACGAUCAUUAAAGACCAAUCCUUCGGUAUGGUAGGAACGCGUCUCUUCUUCUCGUCUUUACCCAGAGAGUAGCACGUAUAGUACACACAGUGAAUUGCAACCGUGAGCCAGGGUUGCGUAACGGAUCACCGAGUCCCGCGAGUCCGUUGUGUUGCCAGCGAGCAGGGAAACACACUAGCUGACUAAUGCACGAAGAUGCAUCUCUCCCUCGGUUACAACAAGCCGGCCCCUAAGCGUCGUUCAGCCGCCUGCAUAUUAUGAAACAAGGAUGUCUGCGACGGAAAGCGGGUCACUGCACGGAGGGUUCGAGAUGUCACGCGCAAGAAUCCUGUAAUGACCGUGUGAUGGCUAAUUUUAUGAACUUACGUCGACGAAAUAAAGGUGUAUUGGUUAUUGAGGUAUCAGCUGGAAACUUGAUAUAUGCAGAUUGUUGUUUGGAAGUUAAUUGUUCGACGACAUUCAUUAAACGUUAGAACAUUUUUGUGUGUUAUGGAAGAAACGAAAGAAUACCGGAAGGUGCAUGGAAAUGUCGUUUAGAAAAUUUGUCCACCUAUAUUGUCUACAAUGUGCCGCCCAGUGUCAUGUUUUAUCAAUCUUUGUGGCUUUUCUCGUUAAUAUGAAACAUAAUAUCCGACUGAACGUUUAUGCAUGAUAGUUUUGUAUCUCACAAUGCAAUCGUGGUUAUUGCAACUGAUCGAUUAUUAUCGGAAUAUCCAGUAAUAGGAUAUCGGAAAUUGAAAUACACAAUUACAUUCAAUACAAAGGAAGGCGUAAUUAAUUUCAGAAAAAUUACGCAUUAUACAUUUCAUUUAAAAUUGUUCGUUAUGUAUGUGCGUGUGUGUUUAAUACCAAUAUUUAUAAGAUAAUUUCAAACAAGUAAUCUUCCCUGACAUUGUUAAAAAUGUUACUCAAUUAUACCAAUAUUCAUCGUGAUUAAUAAUUACGGGUAAUCGUAUUUACUGCACGAUUUGUCAGACAUGGUUUGUCUGAAUCCAUCAGGAGAUAAACAAUUUAUGUGAUAGAAGCUCACUGAUUUUCCCCGUCAAUUAUGAUUUUUUGUUUUGAUAAAUGGCCUUACACCGUACGUCUAUUAAUUCUCAUUUUACUUGUAAUUAUCCAUACAUGGGAUAUUUGAGGAUAUUAGACGUCAGUGGUUCAAAUGUUAAAUAACUAAUUUAGUCGCUAAUGAUUACAUAUCCAUCUUAAUUGUCAGUUGGAAUUACACAUCGAUUAAAUACAAAUUUAAUUGUUAAUCAUAAUUCAUAUAAAAAUAUCUUUGUAAUUAGUAACUGGUUGUCAUUAGACUGCGAUAAUUUAUACAAAUUCAUACUUUUAUGAAUAUAAUUAAAAAGAUGGCACUUGAACAAGAAUUUCGUUUGCAUAGAAAAUUAUGUGCAUUCCGUACAUCUUCAAAUUCCCAAUAAAUGUAUAAAAAUUCAGUCAAGUUAUCUUUAAUUGCAUUAAAACUUGCUCAACACUGAUGGCUACCUACGUAUGUUUAUCUACAUAGAUAAAUAUAAAUCUUGUGUUAAUUUGUACAAGUAUCAUCGUUUCAUCAGCCUCGAGAAUGUCCCUAAUUUGUCACGCGAAUUUCUUCAUCUUUGUAAACUAGUUUGUAACUCAGACAUUGCGUAAUGUUAGUCCAACACGCUACUUUUAAUGCGGAGCAAGUUCACUCGAAUUUACAGAAAUAUUUUAUUUUUGUGCUGGAAGCGAGAAAUAUUAAGCCUAUUUCUUAACUACGACGAUUUUACACAAAAUUUACUAAUCUAAAAAAAUAGAUACGCCUGACAAGUAUCUGCGUUACAAAGUCUAUUCCUAUGGGAUUAGAAAUUCAAAACAGAUUUCACAAUAUGCGUUGCAUCCUCGCAUUCAUUGAUUACCGCAACGAUUGCCAUUACGGUGUUUACUUCUGUAAAUCAGAUUAUUCAACACUCUGCUAUGCUUUCAUUAAUUCAAGAGAGAGUAGUAAAAAUGUAUGUCGUAAUAAAUAGGCAAUCUAUUAUUAGAAUAAACACACCCCCGAUCAUAGUUGUCAAGACGCUAGAAACGAUUAGGAAAUCACGUUGAAAUUUGUGUUAAAGUAAAUUGGCAGCAUAGAAUUUUGAGAUAAAUAAAUAAUUGAUAUAUUGAAUAUUAUCGUAAAAAUCUCAUCUUUCUA
Molecule: long non-coding RNA, 2307 nt
Organism: Bombus pyrosoma
Lineage: Eukaryota; Metazoa; Arthropoda; Insecta; Hymenoptera; Apidae
Exons: 3
Source: RefSeq, a predicted model, not a curated record